AACGCACCUUGCGCCCCGUGGUAUUCCGUGGGGCAUGCCUGUUUGAGUGUCAUGUUAACCCUCGCCCCUGCGGUGUCAAAGCCGCUCGGGUGGACUUGGACGUUGCCGUAGCCGGCUCGUCUUGAAAUGCAUUAGCUUUGCGCCCAUUGGUGUGCUCGGUGCUGCCGUGAUAAUUUCCUCGGCUCGCCUUAGGCCACCUCCAGCGACGCUGCUUCCAACCGUCCCUCGCAGACAAAAGACACAUAAAGCUUUGGCCUCAAAUCAGGUAGGACUACCCGCUGAACUUAA
RNAcentral lists this unclassified non-coding RNA (288 nucleotides) under uncultured fungus. Its description in RNAcentral is "partial contains 5.8S ribosomal RNA, internal transcribed spacer 2, and large subunit ribosomal RNA". The stretch from base 1 to 52 matches the Rfam family "5.8S ribosomal RNA", at positions 103 to 154 of the family's 154-position model. Lineage: Eukaryota; Fungi. The record is from RNAcentral.